ACUCCUACGGGAGGCAGCAGUGGGGAAUUUUGGACAAUGGGCGAAAGCCUGAUCCAGCCAUGCCGCGUGCAGGAUGAAGGCCUUCGGGUUGUAAACUGCUUUUGUACGGAACGAAACGGCCUUUUCUAAUAAAGAGGGCUAAUGACGGUACCGUAAGAAUAAGCACCGGCUAACUACGUGCCAGCAGCCGCGGUAAUACGUAGGGUGCAAGCGUUAAUCGGAAUUACUGGGCGUAAAGCGUGCGCAGGCGGUUAUGUAAGACAGUUGUGAAAUCCCCGGGCUCAACCUGGGAACUGCAUCUGUGACUGCAUAGCUAGAGUACGGUAGAGGGGGAUGGAAUUCCGCGUGUAGCAGUGAAAUGCGUAGAUAUGCGGAGGAACACCGAUGGCGAAGGCAAUCCCCUGGACCUGUACUGACGCUCAUGCACGAAAGCGUGGGGAGCAAACAGGAUUAGAAACCCCUGUAGUCCCAUG
This 473-nucleotide ribosomal RNA is filed under the name uncultured organism. Its description in RNAcentral is "partial 16S ribosomal RNA". It matches the Rfam family "Bacterial small subunit ribosomal RNA", at positions 335 to 799 of the family's 1533-position model. The record is from RNAcentral.